AUAUUCACUGAAAGUUCCCAUUGCUGGGGUUUGUUUCUUAUCUUUGCAGACGAGUGGGAAAUCAAAGACUGGAAUGCUGGGAGAACGCUGGGGAAACUGACAAAGGGGUGAGCUCUGGAAAGGAGGACGGAUACUUCCUGUUCCUGCUGGAGUGACCUGCAGGUCUGAGGAGGAGUGAGGGAGAGGAAGGCAGAGAAAGCGAUACCCUGUGAAACCUGCUGGUGUAAACUUACCUCUGAUUGGGACUCACUGAUGUAAUGGACAAACAAGCACAAAAUGUGUCGAUACCCACAUCAAAUCUCCCAGGUUCCCUGCUGAACUUGGCUGAGGUCAGUGUCUGGUCAAAUGGAGUCGGGCCUGUGCGUCUGUGGGGGUGCAGAUGAAGUGGUCAGCGGU
RNAcentral lists this long non-coding RNA (396 nucleotides) under Sinocyclocheilus grahami. RNAcentral describes it as "lncRNA (ENSSGRG00000024613.1)". The record is from RNAcentral. Lineage: Eukaryota; Metazoa; Chordata; Actinopteri; Cypriniformes; Cyprinidae.